ACAGCGGUAUCAGCUUCGUUUCCGUCACUUCUACGCUCUCCUUCUCCCGCACUAGACAAGAAGUGGGCCCCACUCCCCCGAUGCCAUUCUCACAGAGCAAUUUCUUUAAACCCUAACUGAUGCUCAUAGGUUCUCUUCACCGUUUCCCAAAUUGAACUUCGCAGUGCGUGAUAUUAUGUCGUCGGAAGAAAUUGGUCUUGCUUCAGAUCAGAGGAUCGAUAACGGUCUUAAUUCACCUCUAGUGUUCCCAGGCGACUCCUUGCGUUACAGAUGCGGAGCAACGCAAAGUCGGGUUGGGGACCCGGGUUCGAAAACGAGGGAGCUUGGCGAUUUAUUUGAUGAGAAGAUGUUCUCUGUAGAUCGUGAUCGUUUUUUCGCGGCUCAGGGAGUGGAGUUCCGUCGUAAUGUUUACGGGGAUUGCUCAGACCAGCGGAACCCACCGGCUGCCCGGAAUUGGAAUGGGAACGGGACUGCAACUCCGAGCGGUGAUGAAUCGGACGGCGAGGAUGGUGAAGACGAUGAGGAAGUUGACGACGACGACGACGACGACGACGAUGUUGAGGGAGGCGGUGACGUAGAAAGAAUAGUUGAUGUUAACGAUGCAAGCAAAGGGAAUUCCAAUCCCAAUUCAAUUAAUGAUAUUAACAAUAACAGCGUGAGUGGUGGUAACCUGGCUAGUGCUGUGGAUGGAAUAACGAACGGAAAAGCUCAACAUCGUUCGUCCUACGGAUCCAGUAGAGAGGUGCUGGGGAAGGAUGGAGAAAUUGGGCCGACGCUUAAUAAUUCGAGGGGUAACGAAGGAGAUCAUCAGCAAGAAAGGUUAGAUAAAUCGCAGAAUGCGGUCACGAUUGCCGAAACUGAUUGUGAGGAGUAUUAUUCACACUAUCUUCAAGGCACGGAGGGCUCAGCUUCUGUGCAGAAAGCUAUAGCGGGGGAAAAUGGUUGCGGAUUUAGUGGAAGAAAGGACGUUAUUUAUUCAAGCGAGUCAGGCGACUCGUUGAGAGCAGUGCUUUCAGAUCCUAUAACGGGAUCUCUUAUGGAUGAUGCAAUGAUAUUGCCUUGUGGACAUUCCUUUGGUGGAGGAGGAAUACAGCAUGUUAUUAGAAUGAAAGCUUGUUGCACUUGUUCCCAGCCCAUAUCUGAAGAAUCAAUAUCUCCAAAUCUAUCACUUAGAGUUGCUGUGCAGGCAUAUCGUCGAGAAGAGGACUCACUGUUUUACCGAUCAUCCAAAAGAAGAAGAGAAAGAAUUGAUCAGGGUUGUUAUGGUGAUUCAACAGUUAUGGAACAACCAAGAGGAAGGGGUGUUCAAUUUCCAUUUGCUGUGAUGGACCGGGUUAUUAUAAAGGGGAACAAGAGGACACCACAGCGUUUUGUUGGACGGGAAGCUAUUGUAACAACACAAUGCCUGAAUGGAUGGUCAGCCACUUUCUAACUUCUUUCCCUUUGGCCGUUAAAUCAAAUCUUGGUUGCUGUAUGUGGGUUCACGCACAUGGAGGAAGAGGUUUCAAUAUCUAUGCCCUAACAAAAACACGGUAUGUGGUUAAGACAUUGGACAACGCAGAGAGUGUUAAAUUGCAGUAUCGCUCGCUCGCUAAGGUUUCAGAUGACCCUUCGAAACCAGCCUCCGGCAAGGUGGGACCUAAUUGGCUUUAAAUCUGCAUAUGCCAUGUCACGAUGUUUCUUCUUCUGCUUAAAUUUACUCACUGCCAUAUUACUUGCAAGAAAAUGUGCUUACAGACUUUGUUAACAUAGAAGCGUGGUUAGAGAUUGUA
RNA transcript from Prosopis cineraria, 1772 nucleotides. It is a transcript of the gene named U-box domain-containing protein 62, with no coding region annotated. Lineage: Eukaryota; Viridiplantae; Streptophyta; Magnoliopsida; Fabales; Fabaceae. The transcript has 8 exons. The record is from RefSeq and is a predicted model, not a curated record.